UUGCAUUUCUGUAAGGCUAGGUGUAGACAUUAAUAUCUGAUAGGUAGCAUUUUUAUUGUUCAACUGUGUUCCGUACUGUUUUAAUGUGAGGUAGCAAAAUCUUCAGAACACUGUUUAUAGAGCUUUACUGCCAAUAAUUUAAAUAAAAAAAAAUAUUUGCGAGCAUGAAGAACAAAAACUUCCACGUUUUCAGCGGUGAGUGAAUUCUAACUAACGUAAAUGCCUCUGAUUGGCUAAUGCGUUCAAGAAAUCAACAGAUGUGUCUGUGAUUGGCUACUUCGCUCAACGCUGAAAAAACAGUCGGAGCACAUAAACAAACUUUUGCCAGUAUUUCGCUAGUAUCCUGUUAUUACAGCUUCAACUGAGGGUGCUUAGCAGAAAUGAGCCUUUAAUAAAAAAGAAGAAGAAAAAAAAUCUGAAAGAGGCCGUGCAAUCUAUGUACUAGGCUGCUGCAGAGAGCAGAUGGUGAAGACGAGAAACACUUUUAAGGGAAACUUUCUUUGGAAGAUCAAGGGGAUAAUGGAAGGAUGAUGGACUGAGAGGCACUGAGAGAUUUUACACUGUGUAUGAGCAAAUUGAUAUACUGAAAAUCAUGGAAAAACACGAGACAUGUUUGAAAUGGCAUACAUGAAGGAUGCACUGAUAUAGAAACUUGUGGCACAAGCUGAUUUAUUGAAUUUUAUCUCAUGCUGUAAUAUAAAAUAUAAUAAAAUGGUGCUACAGUACUCCAUAACAUAUUAUUUGAAGUCACAUAAUGUAAACGGUUUAUAACACACAUAGAAAAGUAAACUUAUAAUUUUAAUAAGAAUCAUUAAAAAGGAGAACAAAAUGUAUUUAAAAGACCAGUACUGGUUUAUUUAUUCCUUGCUUUUGUGACAUGUUGCUCUCUGUUUGUUUGUUUGUUUAUAAAUAAAUAGACUGGCAUAGAAAAUGUCAAAUAAAAUAAAAUAAAUAAAUAAAUAGUGCUGCAAUACUCUUAAGAUAUUAUAUGGAGUCAAAUAAUACAAAUGUUAAUUAUUAAAAAUAGAUCAAAAUUAAACUAACACUUUUUGACAUUACUGGAUUUACUCACAAUUAUUAUUAUUAUUAUU
Cyprinus carpio carpio is the source of this 1091-nucleotide long non-coding RNA. The record is from Ensembl. NCBI's taxonomy places the organism in Eukaryota, Metazoa, Chordata, Actinopteri, Cypriniformes, Cyprinidae.